RNAcentral lists this small nucleolar RNA (106 nucleotides) under Oryza sativa (Asian cultivated rice). RNAcentral describes it as "Z276 small nucleolar RNA". The record is from RNAcentral. Lineage: Eukaryota; Viridiplantae; Streptophyta; Magnoliopsida; Poales; Poaceae.
AGUUAUAGAUAAUGAUGAUAAUUAAGAUAAGAUUUGUUUUUUCCGAAGAUUUUUUAAAGUAAUAAAUUGAAAAGAAAUUUAUACGUUGAGUCAAAUUCUGAAAACU